Molecule: long non-coding RNA, 393 nt
Organism: Anneissia japonica
Lineage: Eukaryota; Metazoa; Echinodermata; Crinoidea; Comatulida; Comatulidae
Exons: 4
Source: RefSeq, a predicted model, not a curated record
ACGCCGUGUAUUCUACAAACUACUAUUGCUGCUCGGGUUGGGCUGAGGACAAUUUCGAUGAUUGUACAAUCCCUCGCUGUAAUAUUGUGAAUUGUGGCAUUGGUGGGACAUGCAUUCAACCUAAUGUAUGUGCUUGCAAUUCUGGAUUUAUCGGGCUAACGUGUGAAGAUAAAAACGAAUGUUUGGAAAACUAUGGAGGUUGUGACCGAACUACUGAACGUUGUGUCAACACUGACGGUAGUUUCUAUUGCGAAUGUUUCACAGGGUACGCUAGGAACCUGGGUACCGGAAUUUGUGAACCUAUUUGCACCCCACCUUGCGUCAAUGGAAGAUGUCUUGCGCCUGAUUUCUGUUCGUGUCCAGCAAAUUAUACUGAUAGUGAUUGUAGCGACU